UCGAAUUUUCCGUUCCGAUUUUUUGCCAAAAGCUAAUACGAAUGUAAUAAUAUGGAAUGUAUCAGAACUAGACAUGUUCAUUCGGAUUUUUGGGUUGGGUAGGUCGGAUUGGUUAAUUCGAUAAUUUUUUUGGUAUUUCCCGAUUAAAAUUGGUUUAAUCGGUUACAUUCAGUAAAUUCAGUUAGGAUUAUGUAUAUUUUGGUAUAGCUUGGUAUAAUUUUGGUAUAAUUUCUUUUCAGACAAUGGAUAGCUGAUCGCUUUGUCAAACCAACCUGAACCGAACAAGUAAACGAAUACAAAUUUCAAUCCCAUUGAGUUUAACCGAUUGGCAAACCACUAUCGGUCCAAGUGGUUCAGGUAAAACCCGCAGGCCUAAUCAGAACAAUCAAAAUAUGCAAAUGCAUUGGUUAAUUGUAGUGCAAGAAACUGGAGAAACUUUAUUACUACAUGCAAAAAGAGAGUAAUAUGAGGGACAAGAUCCGGUUUAUAGGGCUACACGUAACGUUUGAGUUCAGUCAGAGACUUUGCUUCUUACUUCAAAUAUUACCCACUAGAAAAGCCAAGUUGCUAGCUUCUUCCUAUGUUCUAAAGUCAAUUUUCGAGUAUUCAGAAACCUAGUUAGUGUACUGGAUCGAAUAGUUUUUUUUUCACUUGAUGCUUGCAAGUUACAUAACAUGUAAGUUGCAUAAUGUAACAGUUCUUUUUUUUGUUAAUUGGGAUAAUAGUUAGCUAGCACAUUUUGUAAAAUCAAUAUGC
Molecule: long non-coding RNA, 756 nt
Filed under: Capsella rubella
Lineage: Eukaryota; Viridiplantae; Streptophyta; Magnoliopsida; Brassicales; Brassicaceae
Description: long non-coding RNA (CRUB_LNC002942)
Source: RNAcentral